AUAUAAGCAAAAUUCACUUUUUUGAUUCAUUCAUUUAAUGAUGUAUGUGGUCUAUAUUAUGAACCACAUACAUCAUUAAAUGAAUUAACCUAAAAAGUGAAUUUAGCUUAUAU
Medicago truncatula (barrel medic) is the source of this 113-nucleotide microRNA precursor. It matches the Rfam family "MIR2593 microRNA precursor family". NCBI's taxonomy places the organism in Eukaryota, Viridiplantae, Streptophyta, Magnoliopsida, Fabales, Fabaceae. The record is from Rfam.